RNAcentral lists this ribosomal RNA (429 nucleotides) under Verrucomicrobiota bacterium. RNAcentral describes it as "Verrucomicrobia bacterium partial 16S ribosomal RNA". It matches the Rfam family "Bacterial small subunit ribosomal RNA", at positions 355 to 776 of the family's 1533-position model. Lineage: Bacteria; Pseudomonadati; Verrucomicrobiota. The record is from RNAcentral.
UGGGGAAUCUUCCGCAAUGGGCGAAAGCCUGACGGAGCAACGCCGCGUGAGUGAAGACGGCCUUCGGGUUGUAAAACUCUGUGAUUCGGGACGAAAGAUAAGUAGACGAAUAAUCUGCAUAAGUGACGGUACCGAAAAAGCAAGCCACGGCUAACUACGUGCCAGCAGCCGCGGUAAUACGUAGGUGGCAAGCGUUGUCCGGAAUUAUUGGGCGUAAAGCGCGCGCAGGCGGCUACUUAAGUCCAUCUUAAAAGUGCGGGGCUUAACCCCGUGAUGGGAUGGAAACUGAGAAGCUGGGGUGUCGGAGAGGAAAGUGGAAUUCCUAGUGUAGCGGUGAAAUGCGUAGAGAUUAGGAAGAACACCGGUGGCGAAGGCGACUUUCUGGACUUUUACUGACGCUCAGGUACGAAAGCGUGGGGAGCAAACAGG